This is a long non-coding RNA of Clupea harengus (Atlantic herring), 604 nucleotides long. NCBI's taxonomy places the organism in Eukaryota, Metazoa, Chordata, Actinopteri, Clupeiformes, Clupeidae. The record is from Ensembl.
UCCACUUAUGGAACCAGGACCCCUGGCAGGUCCAUGUAGCCUCAAACCUCAGCACUGCGGCGAGCUCUGUUCCUCUCCUAAGGGUCUGUGUGUGUGUGUGUGUGUGUGUGUGUGUGUGUGUGUGUGUGUGCGCGUGGUGUGUGUGGGUGUGUGCGUGUGUGUGUGUGUGUGUGUGUGUGUCUGUGUGUGUGCAUGGUGUGUGCCUGUGUGUUAGUGUGUAUAUGUUUGUGUGUGCGUCUGUGUCUGUGUGUGUGUGUGCGAGAGUGAGAGCGAGAUUACAUAAUCAGGCCAAAAUCUAAAUUUAAUCUUGCAAUCAGUAAACUUAUUAGACAUUAUAAUUCUUCCUACUCAGUUAAUCUGUGUAGUCUGAGUGCGCAGGUGUAUUUGUAGUCUGAGUUUGCAGGUGUAUUUGUAGUCUGAGCGUGCAGGUGUAUUUGUAGUCUGAGUGCGCAGGUGUAUUUGUAGUCUCAGUGUGCAGGUGUACUUGUAGUCUGAGUGUGCAGGUGUAUUUGUAGUCUGAGUGUGCAGGUGUAUUUGUGAUCUGAGUGUGCAGGUGUAUUCAUAACCUCUGGUGGACUUGAUAGCAGACAUUCCUACUUGUGAU